This is a non-coding RNA of Myodes glareolus (Bank vole), 1803 nucleotides long. Lineage: Eukaryota; Metazoa; Chordata; Mammalia; Rodentia; Cricetidae. The record is from RefSeq and is a predicted model, not a curated record.
AUUCUUAUCAGGCAGAAAGCUAACUGAAUAUUUCAAGGAUUUGUAGUUAAUGAAACUUUAAACAGAAUUGAACAUAGAAGCUUAAAUUAAAUUCACUCAAUAAACAAUUUCCUUGAGAACCUUUUAGAUCAUUCUAAUGAAUCCAACACCUACUUUGUGACUUCCUGUCUGACACUUCUUAUCUUAGAAUCUCAUGUUCUGUGCUGUUCUGAAAGAUGAAAUUGACCCAGCUGCCCUUGUCCAGUAUUCCCUCUCUCCAACUUUUUCUCCAAAGACAUAUCAAUGGGGUGUAGAUAAAUAAAACACAGGGACCUCUUCCUCCAUUUUAUUUUGCUCAAUAAUCAUAAGCUGUGCUAUAUGAACACUCAAUUGCUGAAUCCCAUCUCCAGACCCAAAAUUCAGGUUUCUGCACAGACUGAGCUCCAUUCAGGUUCAGAUGAUGUUAAUACCUUUGUGUCCCAGAAAAUGUCAGUCUUAGCCAAGGCGCUUAAAUUUCUCAAAAGAAUAUUUUUUUAAAAAAUGUAGCAGCAAUUAUUUAUAAAACUAUCAUUGCAAAUUAUUCAGCCAGAAGCUUGUUAAGAAAAAAACUAACUCUAUCAUCUGCUCUAAAUCAAGCUGCAAGCUUUUUAGUCAGACGACAAGACUCUGACAAAAUGAUACAUAAGGCGAUCUCAGCUGCUAAUAGAGAGCAAUUCUGAGACAGGCUUUCUAUUUAUAAAAGCUUUGAAGCAGGGAUAUCAACAAUGAAAUGAGCCAAUGAAGGGAUUAGGUGUGCUGCGCAGCUGGUAGAGUGCUUGCCUAGCAUGUAGAAAGCUCCAGGAUCACAUAAAACUGAAUGUGAUGGUUCAUUCCUUUAAUUCCAGCACUUGGAGGUGAUGUCAAGAAGAUGAGAAGUUCAAGAUGAUCCUCAGCUACCUAGAAAGGACAAGGCCAACCUAGGAUAUGGAAAGUGACAACAGCUGGCAUUCCCAAUUGAUAGAUUGAGCAAAGAGAGCUCAGAAAGAUGGGAGAGACUCACAAGGUUCAACCCAGGAAUCAUCAUUAGGAAUUCUUUUCUUUUUUCAAAAGUGGAAAACAGAAAUGCAUUCAUUACGAGGCUUGCAUCUGUAAGUGGGAAGCCGGAGUGAACUGCUGGGAACACUGUCAACAGCCCAAAGAGAAGCUGAGGGAAACAGAGAAGACAGAGAAUGCUAGGAAGCUGCAUAAUCUUAUCAGUGCCCCCAAUCAGCAGGAAGUAGCCUGGAAAACAAUGCUCACAUUCCCAAAAAAAAUGGAUUAUGGAUGUUUUUCUUUCUUUAGAGGGUUGAUUGGAAGUUGGUAUGGAUAAUGUUCAGGAAGAAAGCUAAACAAAGAAGAUUAGAUUCAGAAUUUUUUUUUUUUUUGAAAAAAGGGGGACGUGCUAUGGAACAAUGGGCUGGAAGAAACCUGUCAACAACUGGGUUUGCACACAGUUCUACAUGUGAUAAAAUGUAACAAGUAGCACCAUAGUGACAUGUUCACUUAAGCAUCUUCAGGGACACAAUUGAGACCUGCUACUCAAUUAACUUCCUCCUGAAUAGACAAUUUAAAAAGAAACGUCAGCUGUGGGCAUUUGUUGAAGGGUGUUCAGAGAAACCCUAGGCUCCCACAUGUGAUUUCCUGGAGAGUCUAGACAGGAUUUUCACAGCCAGCCUUUACUAACAGCUGGAUCUUAUUGUGGUUGCCAAGCAACAAUAGGCAUCUUUAAUAGAUAGUUGUCAUUAUAGUAUAUGUAUGUAGAAUCACAUCCCUAAAACUACCCACUCCCAUUAAAGAUGUAACAGG